AUCCAAACUCGAACACAACAAAGACUUGGACGAAUUUUUUAUCUCCUUCUGCACCUUAGAUUGAAAAUAAAAAACCCAAUCAAUUUCGAAUUGAACUCCAAUAAAGGAAAAUCCGUCAUCAUUCUUAUGAUCCAAUCAAAGAAAAACCCAUCUUCAUUCUUAUGAUUUCGCUGUGUUUUCUUCAACUCAUUAGUUUCAAGGAAUUUGAAGAGAAAUAAGAACGAAGAAGGUGAUUUAUUUCUGGUGAAAUCCAUUGGUUAUCGUUGCUGGGAAAAGCUUCAACUCAGCAAAACGUCUUUUGUGCAUUGGCUUGAAGUUGGUCUUCAAUAUCACUUCAGUCGAGCAGGGAUGCUAUUGAAUCACAAGACCCGAAACGAGCCAUGCAAACCUGGCGCCCACUUCAUCACACUUGAAAAGAUCAAUGGUGAGGAGAAGAAGCUGCAUACAAAAAUUAAGGCACAUGAAGCCAUCUCACUUAUAUACUCAAGCUCAUCAGAAACAGUGUUCACUAAGGGGUUAGUUGUUAUUCUCCUGGGUGAAUGUGUAAUCUAUAACAGAUCUGCUGAGAGUGGUAAGGAUUCUUUUAUGGUAGUUGAUGCCAUCAGCCAGAAGAUUGGUCUUUACUCCAUACUUCCUAAAUUUGAAUUGCACAGAAGAGGUUUCCUUCGAUUUUUCGAACAAGGUAUGUUUUGGUUUAAAAUAUUUAUCUUCAAUUUUACUUUUUCCCAUUACACUCUUCGUAAAGAUUCUUCAGUCCUAUCCCUUUACUGUACCUAUUGUCCCAUUGGCAAUCGUAAAGUAAAUGUUGCCGAACUGCCAUAGACACCCAAACUUUUUUUUUUUGCCUUGCAGGAGUCUGUCCAGUUUAUAGAAAAUCUCGCAUGCCUGUACAGUUUGAUACAUUAAGUUUCUGUACGCCAAACAACAAUGAUUUCUUGACUAGUACAUGAGCAAUAUUUAGUGUAUGCUGAAUGCACAUAGUUUUGUUAUGUUUAAUCAACUGAGGAUAAUGGAUUGCGGAAGGAAAACUUGCACACUACUAUUUAAUUUGUAAUGAUGAUUUCCCAUUUUGUCUUCAGUCCUGGUCCUAGUUCUAGAUCAAGUUGAAUGUUGACAUUUUGUUGUUUGGUGCUGCUGCUGGUUUAUGACAUUUCUAACUGUAUGCCGAAAGUCAAUUAUUGGUUUAUGACAUUUCUUAGAUGUGCAUAUGCGGGGGUGAACCCCAGGAUCGAAGUGGACAGUAGAGUGACUUCUAAAAAUGCUUUCCAAGGUGUAGUUAUGAACUCUUAUGGAUUUCUUUAGUAAUUAGAUACUAUUGGGUCAGCACCAAUAUAUCUUUACUUCGGACAUGCAACACAUACAAAAAUGUUUGAAAAUCCUGUGGUUAUUCACAUACAGUUGGCUCAUCUUAUCGAUGUGCAAGGUAAAUGUCUCCUCAAACCUACUCUUUGUAACAUGGAUUUCUUUGUUUGGUUACUUUGUUACUUCUAAGACAUACCCAUUUAUGGCCCUUGCUCCGCAACAAAAUGGAAGGGUGGUAACUAUGGCCUAAGUACCGCACAUGCCCAUGUAUGGACUGCAUUUUCUUCUAUUUUCUCUACUUAGUUAAAUUAUUGAUUGACUCAGCUUAUUAGUUGUGAAGUUGUUUAAUUCUGGGGUUUGACUGUUUAAGAACUCCAAAAAUUAGUUUGUCCUCUCAUUGCUGUAUUGUCUUGUUUUUUAGGUUUGUUGUUCCUCUCAUUUCCAGUUUUUAGCCAGAAGAUAUUGAAUAUAUGAAAUUGCUGUUUUCUUUUUGACUUUUUUUUAUAGAUUGCUAGGAUAAAGCGGUACGGGGACAAGUUUUUUGUAGAUGAGGUAUGCUACUUGCUCUUGCAAAUGCCGAACUGGUUUGUUCGGUUGUUCCUCAUUCCUCACACAUCGAAUAAAGCAACCUCUAUAGGCAAAUCUAUCCACCACAGUCAUGGACGACAUUUUUUGGGCAAUAGUACUGCUAUUUGUCUAAGUACAUAGAUUCUUCAAGAAUUAAUUUCACUGUUCCGACCUUUGUGCUAAAUGGUCGUUAUAGACUUUAAAGUGGGGAUAGCAAACGAUACAUCAUGUCAGUUCUAGACCUUUGUCAGUUUUUCUUAAGGUUUCAUGGAACUGCGUUUUCGAUUGACUUUUUUUUUCUUGGUUGUCUGUCCGAGUGGUUAAUGUGUUUGCAGUUGACAAAUUAAGAAGAUAAUCAUAUAAUUCUUUAAACUAUACGUGUUUGAAUACUAAU
Papaver somniferum (opium poppy) is the source of this 2263-nucleotide long non-coding RNA. RefSeq lists it as uncharacterized. NCBI's taxonomy places the organism in Eukaryota, Viridiplantae, Streptophyta, Magnoliopsida, Ranunculales, Papaveraceae. The transcript is spliced from 3 exons. The record is from RefSeq and is a predicted model, not a curated record.